RNAcentral lists this non-coding RNA (30 nucleotides) under Rattus norvegicus (Norway rat). The record is from RNAcentral. Lineage: Eukaryota; Metazoa; Chordata; Mammalia; Rodentia; Muridae.
UGGGCAGAUAGUAUUUUCAAUACUGAAGAG